UUCAGGAACUUUUUAUUUUAAAUUCUUUAGUUACUAUUGCAUUAGUAGAGCAUACAUUUUUCUUGGGGGAGAACUUUGGUUGUAUGAUAAAGUAAACAACUUUUCUUAGUAAAGUGUACAUGGAAGAAAUUAUGGAAGUUGUGUAAUGUACCAAAUAUUUUCCUUUAAACCAGCAUAAAUGGCUAUCACUUCAUUAUUUUCAUAUUGAGUUAUUUUUUUCUAAAUUUAAAGACUAAUUAAAAUAUAAUUAUUAGUGAAGGCAUGGUGUUAUUCAGAGUUUAAGUUAAUAAAGAACUGUUUAGUUAAAUACCUAACCUAAAUAAUACAAAAAAAUAUGGUUUUGAUGCUCUCAGAACCAAAUAAUUAACAAUUAUUAUCUUUAGGUUAGAAAUGGACACUGAUUAGUUUAAAAAUAUUUUUCAAAAUUUGGCAAUGUUGUUUGUAACAAAUACAAUGAAAUAUACUGUAAUAUCCAUAUUUAUUUGAUGUUUAGUUUUUAGGCCCCCUCCCAAACUCCUUAAGAAUAAAUAGAAUAUAUUUAAAUGAUAAAUGUAAUUAUUUACUUUAUAUGGAGACAUGUGCCAUUAUAAUACAGUUGGAGGCUAGAGACAGCACAUGUGUUUUGGAUUGGGUGACAGCACUGAUGUCAUUCUGUUCUCAGAACCUAUUUGGCAGAGAAGUUAAAAGAAUUGCAGAACGAGAAGGAAGUCUAGUAUUUUAGCAUAAACAGAUUUUUGUCUCUCAAGGAAAUGUGAUGAAGUGUAUUAUUUUCCUAGAAGCUCCUUAGGCCCAGCUUGUGCCUGUCUUAAAUUUCUCCAUACCUCUAGCUAGUGCUUUGCAUGUUAGUAAGUAUGAAUUGACUUGAGUUAAAUUUAGCUUGGUUGGAUCAGACUACCCUCAAGUCAACUGGCUUCCAAAGGCAUGGAGACAGAGCAUUCCUUUUCCUUAACUAAUGUGUGGAGCUACCUAUUCUAUUCAGCUCUUGGAAAUUUUCUCAGAUAGUCACAAUGAGUGGAAAAUGGCUAGGCAUUAAAAAAGAUCAUUACAAACUUAAUAAGCCAACCUUGUCAUAUUUCUUUCCCUUCAUCCUGGAUUGGAGGAUCAGCUGUUGUGCCUAAAUAUAAACUUUGAGCUACACUACUCUUUAAUGUAUGUCUUUAAUGUGGUGUUUGUCUUUAAUAUAAACUUUGAGCUAUACUACUCUUUAAUGCUUGUCUUUAAUGUGGUGUUUUUACAUAUGGAUGAAGGUACACUCAUUUUCAAGUGUACCUUGAAGCUGAGCUGACUAAGUGGUUAUAAAAGUUCUGCUUAUAUAGAUGUUAGCAGAUAUUGUUACAUGUGCAAAUCCUGAAUAGAAGUGAGAUGUAAUUUCCACUUCGAACAUACAAGUAGCAAAUUUUAGGAGUAGGAGUUUUCUUUUUAGCUUGUGGUGAGAAUAACACCAUGUCCUUUGUUUUCAGGUAGCAGGAGGAAGAAGUGACUGACAGAGCCUGACUCCUACCAUGGAUAAGAUGAGUGUUUCAGUAUCAUCAGAUUGGAGAAACUGACCCAUUAGGCCUUACAAGCUUGGUCUGUAAUGGUCCUAACACUUCUUCCUGGUGCAUUCGUUUUGGCUAUGUCAGGACAAACAGCUUACCCACAUUCCCCCUUGCAGGUAAAAAAAACACAGGGUCCUGGCUGUCAUGACUAGAGAAGCAUUAAAGCCUUCUUCUUAUAAUUAUACACUUAAAGGCAUACUAGGGUCGACACAUGCUUUAUGUUUCCCGGAAAUUGGUUUUCAGUAUUGUUUGAUAUGUUCCUCCUGUGGUAGCUGCAGACGCCUUAUCAGGCCGAAGAGUUUGGUCAUGGUACUUCCAUUUUAUACAUGAGAAGACUGGACACAACGUCAUAGCCAAAGUUAUUUUGUUACUUUGUGUAGGCAGUACCUUUUACUUCAUAGACACUCAUACAAUACUUUUAAAUUUCUCUAUCUAUUGUAAAUCAAGGUUAUUUUGAAACACAGAAGUGCUGAGGUCUGUUCUCAGUACCAUUUGUGAGAAAGAAUGCAACUCCUCAUUUUAUGAAUAAUCUUAAAGAAAGAUAUAUUAAAUGCUUAACUAUGUAUGUUGCUGCGCUCAGUCUGUACUUUCCUAGAAUCAAGACAUUCAGUAAGUUUUUCUACUGUUUAUGACUUUAUAACAAAUUACAAUUUAAUGUUGAUUUGAAGGUACAGAAGCAAUCAGACAAAUCCAGAUUUCUAGAAAAAUGAUUCGUUUAUGAUUAAAAUGAGAAAGGAUUUGGAUUCCAGCAUGUAUAGGGGUGCUGUGGAUACCUAUAGCUGUGGUAAAUAAAUGAAAACAAAAUUGAAUACAUUAUUAUUCACUGAGUUUAACUGAAUAGAACUUAUUAGCUUAAAACCUGGUUUUGUAAGAGUGCUCUCAUUUUAAUGUGCUAAUUUCAAAGAUAUUAUUACUAAGUGCUUGUGAUAAUAGUGUUUGAAUCAAUCUGACAGUGCUCUCUAAAUAUUUGAAUAUCAUCCUUCAUAAAUGUAUAAUAUGCCAUAUACCAUUUACUUCUUAUUUACUUAUUCUUAAAGCAUAUCUACACAAAACCCACAUGAAAAUACAGGUAUUUAUAUGGAUGUUUAACC
Manis javanica (Malayan pangolin) is the source of this 2629-nucleotide long non-coding RNA. RefSeq lists it as uncharacterized. Lineage: Eukaryota; Metazoa; Chordata; Mammalia; Pholidota; Manidae. The record is from RefSeq and is a predicted model, not a curated record.